RNAcentral lists this long non-coding RNA (1107 nucleotides) under Cricetulus griseus (Chinese hamster). RNAcentral's name for it is "lncRNA (ENSCGRG00015032814.1)". Lineage: Eukaryota; Metazoa; Chordata; Mammalia; Rodentia; Cricetidae. The record is from RNAcentral.
CCUACAUAACACAUUGAACACCGAGAAGUCAAGCUGAUGCAUACCAAAACCCUUCAUCCAUAUUGACUAGUGUUCAUAGUAUUUGAAGGCUCUCUGCAUGCUACCAGAGGAGAAAGGCUGCGUGUGUCUUCGGGAGAUCCUGCCAUGCUUUGCUUUGGAGAAUGACGACCGUGCAGCAUCUAUUGAUGCUCCUGAUGUGAACUCUAUCAGAGUCACAAUUGGCUCCUGGAUUCAAUGAAAAAUGGCUUGUUAAAAUUGCCAGGAGUCAUCAGUCAACUUAAACUCACCUCUUGUGAAUGUCUUAGAUGUGGUCUCACAGGGAAUACUGUGAGACCUCCAAGGAAUACCUUUGGUGACAUAAACAAACUGCAAUCAUGAGAAUACCUUUGAGGCAAUUCACUAGUGAACUGCUGCUGCUUCUCCGGAAGGUAAUGCUGCUGAGAGGUGGGGAAGAUGGCUUCAUGGCAAACAGCGAUGCUCUUCUACAGGCAGCAGAAAGAGGAAAGUGUGUGGUCAGUUGGAGGUGUUUUAAAAACUACUUUUGUCCAUCAGAAGCUGACUUGGAACACGGCAACUCUGUAGAUAUUCCUGCCUUAGCCUCCUGAGCACUGAGAUGACAGGUUUGCACCACCAUGCCUUGCUGGCAUGUCUUUAUUUAUUUAGCAAAUAUCUGUUAACCUCUAUUAUGGUCUAGACACAGUGUAUAUAAAAACUCACACAAGAAGGUUCCUGAGGCUUCUGAUCUUCCAUUCUGGUGUAGGAAACAUACUAGACAAUUGAAUGUGUAAAGAGAUAUUUUCAGAUGGCAGUGUGCAAAGUGCCGAGCAGGCCUGACUCCAUACAUAGUGCCAUCCCUUUGUGUCUGUGGGUUUUGCACCUGUGGAUUUAACCAACAUGGGAUCAAUAGUAUUGGAAUGAAAAAUUACAUUUGUAUUGAACAUGUACAAGUUUUACCCCUUUCCAUUAUAACUUAAAGUGCACAACACAGCAUUCACUUACAUAAUAUUUACAUUAUAUUGAAUAGAAGACAUAAUCAAGGGUUGAUUGAGAAUAUAUGGGAGAUUUGCACAGGUUAUAUAUGAAUACUAUACCUCUUUAUUAUAUAAG